AGUGUACAACAGAUUUUGCAAUGUCUGGAUCUCACUUAGAGAACAAGUGAGCCCUUUAGGUUUCACUGAUAUUUUCUCAGGAACACUUUCCCUGAUUCUUGGGUCCAUUAGGCCAACCUGCUGUUGGUUUUCUGAGCAUCCUGUACAGCACUCACCAUUCUUUAUUGUUAUCCUCUGUAUAAUUGUCUAAACUUUCUACUCGGUAGGAAGAUGUGCGAGAGCAGGAUUUUCUUUUGCCUUGCUCACAACUGUUUUUCCAGCACCUAGAGGUUCUAUACUCCACAGAAGCAAUCACUGAGUGACUUUUAAGUGCCCCCUACCUCGCCACCCUCCACCGCCAAAAAAAGUUUAAAUGUGCUUGGGAAUGUAAGCACAAAGUAAGAAUGCUUUCAUGCAGUCACUGACCUUUAAGCUUUUCUCUGAAAAAGCAGCAACUGUCCUUCCAAGAGAUGACUUUUAGCACCUCUAGCUCCUACUCUGCUACCUCCUCACCGUAUUUAAUACUGUACAGCUCAGAAACAGAGAAUGUUGGUGCUAAACAUAAUGAGGGUAGAAGCACCGUAAGCUAAAGCUAGCAUUAGCAUCAUGAUAGUAAUCAUCAUAUUAAAGUGUACAACAGUGCUGAGUGCUGUACCUUCCUCCUGCUGAUGUACUGUGGGUUUUACCACCUAGUCUUCUUCUAGUUUUGAAUGCUAUUUGUAGCCACUUUCACAGAAAUGGAGCCAAUUGUUUCUUAUAGAAGAAAAUCUGUAGUUCUGUAGUCUAUUGAUGACUCUUAAUUCGUUUCAAGCAUGUUUGAUGUUCAGGUGGCUGAGUAGCACUACAUGCAGCAUUACCAAAGAGGCUUAUGGGAUCUAUCCUGGUAUACAAGUUCCAUAUGACAUUACCCAUUUCGCUACCAUCUUUUCUGGAAAACAUCCUAAUUGAUUGUUAUCUUUACAUUUAACUAUCUAUAUUUACUUUCCAGUGCUUCUUCAGGUAGUCUAAUAUUUGCUUCUGAAAUAAAUUGUAUUCCCGAUGCACGUUUCAAUGUAAUAUGAAAGUAACAAAUGUCAUAUUUACUGCCUCUUUCAGGACAUUAACAAGGAGAGUAAAUGAGAUUGAGCCUAACAGCAACCCUCUACCUAUGAGAUGGGAAUGCUGUACUGAUUCGGUGACUUACUAUGUUUUAUGAUCCUUAUUUUAUAAACCAUUAGCUAAUAGUCCAGCUAGUACACAUUCAUUUUUAAGUUAAAAUGCAUGGGGUGACAAAUUUUAUGCUGAUUACUGUUUAUUUUUUAAUUACUAAAAUAAUGUAGAGAAGAAACGGCUGUUUUAUCAACUACAAAUUUCUAAUUUUGAAAGAAUGCCAUGUAAAAUAUAUUUUAAUAUGACUUAAAAAUGGUAAAAUGAUAUGUGUUAUGUUUAAACAUGUCUGGCUAGCAAAAAUAAAAAAAGAACGUGAUAUGCUUAUUUAUAAAAAUGACUGCCCUUAAAAUUAAGAAAACUGACCUAUCUUAUUUUUUAUAAGGACAGUUCUAUGAUACACAAAAGAUUAUUAUUACAUUACCGUAUUAUUAUUAUAGAUUUUUCUGUAUGUUUCUUUUAACAUCGCCCAUUUCUUUUGACUAUUGCUCAUUGCCAGGUGGCAAACUAUUAAUGUCCGUCUUUGAAGGUGUCAUUCAAAUAUAAAAACAGUCACUCAUAUCCCCUCUCAGUUAGUGGUCACCAAGCCAACUUCUACAUAUUUAGUUUCUUAAUCUUCCCUCAAAAUUGAAUCUCUCCAUCUAUUUAAUCACUAUAGUGGUUCUUCCCCAUUGUCUGCUGAGAAAUUAUGUGGGAAAAUUGAUGUAUUAUAUCUUAAUUUUCUUACUCCUAAAAUUUCAAAAUAGAAUGUUGUAGCAUGACUGCUUAUAGCUGUAUAUUUUGGAGAAGCAUCUGGUAUUCAGAGUUGUUCUAAGUCUUCAGUUGCACCCCUGUUAAUAAUUUAAAUUGUCCAGAACGGUAAACCAGAAUUAAUAAUGUGGAGAUUAAAUUAUUAAUCAAAGGCAAUGUAAAUAUAAGUUUAAAGCAAAAUCACAAGGUAUAUUUUGUAUAUGGUUGCAGAAUUAUUUAUUUAUUUUAUUCAAUAUUAAAAGUAACAUAUAAUUUCUGCUUUUCAGCAUGAUUAUUUGAUGAUUUCAUGUGAUUCUGUUACAUGAGUAUUUUAUUGGUCAUUUAUAUUUGUAUUUUAAAUGUCAAAAUAAGCACCCUAUGUUUGAUUUUAGAUUUAUUUCAACAGUGUAGUACUUCCUACUCUAAGCCUACUUUUAGUAGCAAUUUAUCUUUUCUUGUGGUGGUACUGAGUCUGCUAAAAAUGCAAAAUGAUAGAGGAAGAAUAAAUUAGUGAAGUUGUAUCUAGAACACUCUUGCAAGUAAACCAUGAGUUGAGUUAUCUGAUUAAGGAAAACAGAUUACAUUAAAGGGUAUUUGUGAAUUAUAGAUUUGUAUAAAGCAAGGUUUUGAUAUACAAGAUUUUUUUUCACAAGGUAGAAAUACAGGUAGUUCAAGGAGAACUAAAUUCAUUCUAUCUUAUUUGUUAUUUCAAUCCAUAAACAGAAUUUUCAUCCAUAAAAUGGAAGAUAUUGUGCUUAUAGUACAAAAUAAGUAAAAGAAUAUAUAGGCCACAGCUAGUUUUCUGGUAGAAUUUGACAGUAACAUUGAAUCAACUAUUUUUACAAUGUUUUCAGCCAAACUUGGCCCUGGGCUUUUGAAUACGAUGUUAUUUAGGACCUCAUCUGGUUUUUGGGUUUUUUUUAACAAUACAGUGGCAUUAAAUUAUUAAGGGGAUAUAUGUGUUUUUGUGGUGAGGAUAAUUAAGGACAUAGUCAUUGUUUAGGCUAUGCUGCUUUUAUUUAUAGCAACAUUGGGAUGAAGUCAGGAAAACCAGGUUCAAAUCAGCUUUAUCACAUAUCAAGAGCAUGAAAAUGCCAAGUUACAUAACUUCUAAGCCUUCCUCAUCUUCAAAGUGGGGAUAACAAUACUUGCUUUAUAAAUUUAUUGUGAAGAUCAAGUAAUUUAGUCUCCAUGAAGAACUUGUUACAGCACCUUAUGACAUUAUUAUCACUAUUAGGCAAUUUUGCAAUGACCCUUUUAAAGUAGGUCAGGCAUAUUUCCAUGUUAGGUUACCAGGAAGUUUACAAGAGGACAGAAUAAAACUUAUCUUUUCAUGUUUUUAUAUAAAUGCAGUAAAUUUGCCCCAGGAGGCAUCAGAAUAUGUCAAAUUGCCUUGUAUAUAUUAUGCACCUCCUCAAGUGACAGGAUUGAAUUUAAAUCUGAGGCAGGAAAAACGCAUCUUUUACAAUCAAGACAAGCUGAUAAUUUAACAGAUCAUAAAGUAUUGGUUCCUUGUUAAUAAACAGUUCUUCCCUAAAUUUAUUUCUUUCCUUUUGCAUUUUACAAUAGGCAACAAGAGGAAGCCAGGCCCACCUUUAACCCUUUGCUUGAAAAUCUCCUCAGCUAAAUACCCAAGUUCACUGCUGACAAGUUUUGUUACCGCUUAUAACCAUAGGGCACAAUUCAGCUGUUUCCUGCCGCUGUGUAACAAGGGUCCAUUAUCCCCUAGUUUUAAAUAACAUGUCCCUAAUUUCCUUCUGAGCUCUCAGCAGCAGCAUAUUUAAAAUCUAUAUUUUCACCAACAUUCUGUUUAUGAUAAUUUAGGUUUUCUGUAAGAUGAUCUCUCACAAAAUUGCUUCAGUCGUCCCAUAUACCCCAUAAAUAUAUACACCUACUCUGUACUCAUAGUGAUUAAAAAUUUUAAAAAAAAUCAUUGCAGUGGACAAUUUAGGUAGAUGAUGUAAUAUAGAUUUGAAAUGAUCUAUGGCACUACAUUAGAAUCAAC
RNAcentral lists this long non-coding RNA (3859 nucleotides) under Homo sapiens (human). Its description in RNAcentral is "HSALNT0306120". The record is from RNAcentral. Lineage: Eukaryota; Metazoa; Chordata; Mammalia; Primates; Hominidae.